GCUUGCUGGGUGGAUUAGUGGCGAACGGGUGAGUAACACGUGAGCAACCUGCCCCUGACUCUGGGAUAAGCGCUGGAAACGGCGUCUAAUACUGGAUACGAGAAGCGAUCGCAUGGUCAGUUUCUGGAAAGAUUUUUUGGUUGGGGAUGGGCUCGCGGCCUAUCAGCUUGUUGGUGAGGUAAUGGCUCACCAAGGCGUCGACGGGUAGCCGGCCUGAGAGGGUGACCGGCCACACUGGGACUGAGACACGGCCCAGACUCCUACGGGAGGCAGCAGUGGGGAAUAUUGCACAAUGGGCGCAAGCCUGAUGCAGCAACGCCGCGUGAGGGAUGACGGCCUUCGGGUUGUAAACCUCUUUUAGCAGGGAAGAAGCGAAAGUGACGGUACCUGCAGAAAAAGCGCCGGCUAACUACGUGCCAGCAGCCGCGGUAAUACGUAGGGCGCAAGCGUUAUCCGGAAUUAUUGGGCGUAAAGAGCUCGUAGGCGGUCUGUCGCGUCUGCUGUGAAAUCUGGAGGCUCAACCUCCAGCCUGCAGUGGGUACGGGCAGACUAGAGUGCGGUAGGGGAGAUUGGAAUUCCUGGUGUAGCGGUGGAAUGCGCAGAUAUCAGGAGGAACACCGAUGGCGAAGGCAGAUCUCUGGGCCGUAACUGACGCUGAGGAGCGAAAGGGUGGGGAGCAAACAGGCUUAGAUACCCUGGU
RNAcentral lists this ribosomal RNA (700 nucleotides) under Microbacterium sp. Its description in RNAcentral is "bacterial SSU rRNA". It matches the Rfam family "Bacterial small subunit ribosomal RNA", at positions 78 to 791 of the family's 1533-position model. The record is from RNAcentral. Lineage: Bacteria; Bacillati; Actinomycetota; Actinomycetes; Micrococcales; Microbacteriaceae.